UAAACUGUGAAAGGGGGGAACUGAAAGGGUUAACUUCUAUCCCUGAAACUUCUGUCCUUGCUCAAACUUCUUUGUGCAAAACAUGCUUAUAUGGCACGUACUCCCCAGCUGGCCUGAGCAGCCCCCAAUGCCCUUGGGCGAAUAUGUUUCUUAUCUCUUCUUAUCACGCAUACCAGCACACCCCACUACAAAGUUUCUUUCUGGAGACACACAGAAUAAUACUUUUUUGUUUUCCCUUAGGCUAAGGCAUACCUUUGUUACACGUCAUAUUGGCUAUAUAAGCAACUGCUGUAACCCUAAUAAAUCGGAACUUGCUUUGCAACACACGUGCCUUCUGUGUCGUUCUUUGUAAGACCCCUGCGCAGUGUAUCUGGGCUGGUGUAAUCAGAUGGUUUUUGCCGUGCCAAGACGAACCGGUUCGCCUAGGGAUAGCACAAGGAUAGCACAGUGAAAGUCCGGGAUUUCCCCUGUUCCUUUCAGCUGGUGUCAAGAAGUGGGAUCGGUUGGAUAUCCGGAGAAGCUUCUUGGGAAAUAGUUUUCAAAUUUAACCAAGAUGCCCAAGAGUCUGCUGUCCAGUAUGCUAUUACCUUUGUGUCAGGAUUACUAAAUGAUCCUCAAAGUAACCUCAGCAUACAUAGUCUUGCCUGGAAGCAUAAGAAGUAAGAAAAGAUAGUCAUUGCCACAAGUGGAGAACUCCUGUCUUAAGCCCCAGCAGGUGUUACUAGGUCAGCAACAGUCUAACAACUUCCAGGAUAAUUCCCAAAACUCCAGACACAAUAACUAACAGACAGCAGUACAGGUCAGAUAACUGUAACAAAAAGACAGUCGUUUGCGUUAAUUGUAAUAAUCAAGGGCAUUAUGCAUAUAAGUGCAUAUCCCCAAAGACAGCCCUUUCCCCAGCAGGAGAUGCAGCCCCUUCACCUUCCAAUGCAUCCCUCAUAAAUCCUGAUUGAAGGUGUGAGGCAGCCCCGGUACCAGUAUUUCCAAACACUUCUAAUCACCAUCCAGACCUCCUAAUUGAAGUAUUUUAGACCUAAGGCCCCCCAGCCCAAAAUCUCACAGUACCCACUGUCCAGGGAAAAUGUAUAGGGGAUUUGCCCAGUCAUUCAAGGGUUACUUGAUAAGGGAGUGUUAAUUCAUAGGAUUAGCCCUGUAAAUAUGCUCAUCUUGCCAAUUAAAAAGCCCUGCAAGAAUGAGUGGCGUUUUGUUCAGGAUCUCAGAGCAGUUAACAAAGUUGUUAUUGCAGCCCAUCCGGUAGUGCCAAAACCGACUACCAAAGCAGGUUGCAGUCAUUAAGUACUAAGCCCACACUGGGUCCUCUGACCGUGUAGCACAAGAUAAUGCCUAUGCUGAUGUAGCUGCAAAGCAGGCAGCAUUGUAUUAUAAAAUGUUUAAAGCAUGUGUUGUAAAAGAACCAACUCUACCUGUUCCCUCUAGUGCUGUUUUAUCAGCCCUUCAGGACCAAAUGGAACCUGAGGAGAAGGAACAUUGGCUUAAAGCCAGAUGUACACAUACUCCGGAUGUUGAUGUUUUUGUUUUGCAUCUAGGUGAUUGCCCUGUUGCACCCCGUGCUCUGUUACCAUAUUUGGUUGCUGCCUCACAUGGUCUCACCCACACUUUUAAAGGGGGAUUUGUGAUGUAGUGUCAAGAAUGUGGUUUGCCCCCGGGUUCUCAUCUAUUGCAGCCAAAUAUGUAUAAUUAUGUUUUAUUUGUGUGCAAUAUAAUCUAGGUCAGACUAUUAGAACACCUAUCAAACAACGGCCUAAAGCAAUGUAUCCAUUUCAGAUAUUGCAGAUAGAUUCCAUACAGUUACCUAAAUGUUGUACCUAUGAAUAUGUAUUUGUUUGUGUUGACUAAUUCUCUGGUUGGCCAGAAGCCAUUGGGAUUCAUCAAAUGUUACACACCAUAUCAUCCCCAAGCUAGUGGGAAAGUGGAAAGUCAGCAGGCUAAUUAAAGUAUGUGCAGAGACUAAACUUGCGUGGCCAGAUGCCCUUGAUAUAGUUCUUAUGUCUGUCACACACACUCCCCAAAGGCUAACUAAACUCUCCCCAUAUGAAAUAUUGUUUGGGAGACAAACACGCAUGGCUCAGUACUUUCCUUCUACUCAUCUUCUUUGCAUGAACUAUGGAAGAAUGACUGAAUAUGUUACUAAGUUACCUAAGGAACUGACCAAAUUGUGCUCUUGAGUUUAUUCUUCAUUACCAGAUCCAGCGGAUGUUCUGGAACCUCAUGUUCUCAUUCCAGAAGAUUGGGUCCUCAUAAAGAGACGCAGUGCCAAAGAUCUUCAACCUCGCUGCAAAAGACCAUUACUCCUCGUCACAGAAACAGCUGUAAAGGUUGAAGGGAGACCGAAUCGGAUCCAUGCGUCUCACAGUAAGAAUCCUUAAACUUCCACCUGUUGUGUAAGUGGGGGGAAUUGCAGGACAUAAUAAUGCCUCUUUCCUUCCACCGCCUAAGUCCCAGGGACCAUAACAUCCAACGCUAAAGAUGUAGGUCCCCAUCGGGUGAAGAUCUCCAGCAGAAUCAUGUCUUUGUGGGCCAGAUGUUUGGUCCGAAUCUGUGUCUUCCUGCUGCACAUACGUAUCUUCAUUGCUGUGCUGAUUAUAGCACUUAUAAAGCCUGCUGUUAAUGACAGGUCCCAAGUCAACACAACAGCCUCACUAGCAUCUGAGGUUAAUGUUUCAUCACCAGAUCAGGUUAAAGUUGUCCAAAGAGACUUAUAUGCAUAACUGUUUGAGCCUAAUGAUAAUGCUCUUGUUAAAAUGCUUGUUAUAGCAGCAUCAACACUAUUACUGAUUGUUGGAUAUGUACACAUUCUCCUUUAUCAGCUCAUAGUAUGACAUACAUAGUAGAAUCUCUAUCCUGUCAGGACAUAGUUAACAGUCCUUGAGGUAAUUUGACACUUCUCCAGUAUAACACUACACUUAUUCCAAUGGCCAUCUCAGGAUUCUGUAAAGCACCAGUAGUGUAUUUUCAUAAAAUGGUGUUGCCCAAGGAUAUUGGUAAGUUGGUACACUUCUGUUCCGAUGGCCUUUGUAUCAACAGUUCAGUUAAUCAUCAUUUGUUGCUGUUGUUCUUGCUGUACCUCCUUAUUUUCUCACUCUUUUCGAAAGGCAAAUUCUUCUAGGCCUGUUCUGUUCUAUCCUAAGAACGCUAAAAGUCUGAAAUGACUUCCAUGAACCACCACAGUGUAUGAACAUUAUAUACCAGAUGUAUUCUCAUAUAGGUUGUAUGCAUAGCAUUUAUAAGGUAUGCUAUAUUUAAUUGUUUAUUUUGUAGUAGAGGAAACGUCUUGUAGGCUCUGCUUGACCCCCUUAAUGGAGUGAACAGUUUCUAAGUGCCCAUGAGGCCCUUCUAGAACCUGUUCAAGGUUAUGUGUAACAUCUGUCGAGAAGGUUCUUAUCACUAUUCUGUUAUAUUUUGUAUUCCUGUAACAAUGUGUUCUGACCUUGAAGCACACAUACACAAUGGUACUCCCUAUUUCCUGGUGAUUGGGUGUUAGUCAAAGAAUUCCUACCAAAACUCUCCCUGGAACCAACUUUUAAAAAAGAGUAGCACUUGGCAUGAUACUAACUGAAAAGGGGGGUGUCCGUAAAAUGCUUGACAACACAAGCACCUUUUGCACAUAUAUCCCCGAUAAUACUGGUCCAAACAGCAAAGUAAUUGAUCUGUUCAGUAAGUUAAAGAAAAAUUCUGGAAUCACACAUCCUUGGGGUGAAUAUUUUGGAUGGAUGACGGGUUGGCAAAAGGUCUUAGCCCAGAUCAGUGUUACCUUAUUGAUUGUUUUGAUUUUUAUUUCAUUUAUUUUCUGCUGUGUAAUCCCUUACAUUAGGAAGUUGAUUUCUUCACUUAUUGCUUCUUCAGAAGGUUCACAACUCAAACUUAUUCAUGCUGCUCGUGUGUAGUCACUUGCGUGACUAAAGGGGGGAUUGAAAGGGGGGAACUGAAAGGGUUAACUUCUAUCCCUGAAACUUCUGUCCUUGCUCAAACUUCUUUGUGCAAAACAUGCUUAUAUGGCACGUACUCCCCAGCUGGCCUGAGCAGCCCCCAAUGCCCUUGGGCGAAUAUGUUUCUUAUCUCUUCUUAUCACGCAUACCAGCACACCCCACUACAAAGUUUCUUUCUGGAGACACACAGAAUAAUACUUUUUUGUUUUCCCUUAGGCUAAGGCAUACCUUUGUUACACGUCAUAUUGGCUAUAUAAGCAACUGCUGUAACCCUAAUAAAUCGGAACUUGCUUUGCAACA
Xenopus laevis (African clawed frog) is the source of this 4247-nucleotide long non-coding RNA. RefSeq lists it as uncharacterized. The transcript has 2 exons. Lineage: Eukaryota; Metazoa; Chordata; Amphibia; Anura; Pipidae. The record is from RefSeq and is a predicted model, not a curated record.